GGCUGGCAAGCUCAGGCUUCGGAGAGACUCAGUACGGAUUACAGAGGCGUCUGAUGGAGGCGCUGAUCUGAAGAAGAGCAGAAUGAAGCUGCCGAGUACAAAUCGAAGAAACCGUCAAAACCCAAGAUUAUUACACACCGCAGAGGCUCUAAGGUAAAACAUGAUCUGUAUGGAUUUAUUUUAUUUUUAUUUG
This 193-nucleotide long non-coding RNA is filed under the name Sinocyclocheilus anshuiensis. RNAcentral's name for it is "lncRNA (ENSSANG00000025587.1)". Lineage: Eukaryota; Metazoa; Chordata; Actinopteri; Cypriniformes; Cyprinidae. The record is from RNAcentral.